CCGGUUGAUCCUGCCGGACCUGACUGCUAUCGGAUUGAUACUAAGCCAUGCGAGUCAUUGUAGCAAUACAAGGCAGACGGCUCAGUAACGCGUAGUCAACCUAACCUAUGGACGGGAAUAACCUCGGGAAACUGAGAAUAAUGCCCGAUAGAACACUAUGCCUGGAAUGGUUUGUGUUCCAAAUGAUUUAUCGCCGUAGGAUGGGACUGCGGCCUAUCAGUUUGUUGGUGAGGUAAUGGCCCACCAAGACUAUUACAGGUACGGGCUCUGAGAGGAGUAGCCCGGAGAUGGGUACUGAGACACGGACCCAGGCCCUAUGGGGCGCAGCAGGCGAGAAAACUUUGCAAUGUGCGAAAGCACGACAAGGUUAAUCCGAGUGGUUUGUGCUAAACAGACCUUUUGUUAGUCCUAGAAACACUAACGAAUAAGGGGUGGGCAAGUUCUGGUGUCAGCCGCCGCGGUAAAACCAGCACCUCAAGUGGUCAGGAUGAUUAUUGGGCCUAAAGCAUCCGUAGCCGGCUCUGUAAGUUUUCGGUUAAAUCUGUAUGCUCAACAUACAGGCUGCCGGGAAUACUGCAGAGCUAGGGAGUGGGAGAGGUAGACGGUACUCGGUAGGAAGGGGUAAAAUCCUUUGAUCUAUUGAUGACCACCUGUGGCGAAGGCGGUCUACCAGAACACGUCCGACGGUGAGGGAUGAAAGCUGGGGGAGCAAACCGGAUUAGAUACCCGGGUAGUCCCAGCUGUAAACUAUGCAAACUCAGUGAUGCAUUGGCUUGUGGCCAAUGCAGUGCUGCAGGGAAGCCGUUAAGUUUGCCGCCUGGGAAGUACGUACGCAAGUAUGAAACUUAAAGGAAUUGGCGGGGGAGCACCACAAGGGGUGAAGCCUGCGGUUCAAUUGGAUUCAACGCCGGGAAUCUCU
Molecule: ribosomal RNA, 919 nt
Filed under: uncultured archaeon
Lineage: Archaea
Description: bacterial SSU rRNA
Rfam family: Archaeal small subunit ribosomal RNA
Source: RNAcentral